GGAAUAUUGGACAAUGGGGGCAACCCUGAUCCAGCCAUGCCGCGUUCGUGAAGAAGGCCUUAGGGUUGUAAAGCGCUUUCACUGGCGAAGAUGAUGACGGUAGCCAGAGAAGAAGCCCCGGCUAACUCCGCGCCAGCAGCCGAGGUAAUACGGAGGGGGCACGCGUUGUUCGGAAUUACUGGGCGUAAUGGGCGCGUAGGCGGAACAUUAAGUUAGGGGUGAAAGGCCUGGGCUCAACCUGGGAACGGCCUCUAAGACUGAUGAUCUUGAGUCCGGAAGAGGAUGGCGGAAUUCCCAGUGUAGAGGUGAAAUUCGUAGAGAUUGGGAAGAACACCGGUGGCGAAGGCGGCCAUCUGGUCCGGUACUGACGCUGAGGCGCGAAAGCGUGGGGAGCAAAC
RNAcentral lists this ribosomal RNA (398 nucleotides) under uncultured bacterium. RNAcentral's name for it is "bacterial SSU rRNA". It matches the Rfam family "Bacterial small subunit ribosomal RNA", at positions 358 to 773 of the family's 1533-position model. The record is from RNAcentral.